Non-coding RNA from Phoenix dactylifera (date palm), 1844 nucleotides. The record is from RefSeq and is a predicted model, not a curated record. Lineage: Eukaryota; Viridiplantae; Streptophyta; Magnoliopsida; Arecales; Arecaceae.
ACAGAAUCCAUAGACCAAAGUUACAUUCCCUGGGGGACCAAAGAAAAGCUACGCAGCAUCAUUUCCACUUUAGCAUCUCCUCAGAUACCUUUGCCUUUGCCCCUUUUUUUAUUUGCCUUUCAAACCUUUACUCUUCUCCCUACACAGUUUGUCCCUCCUCCUCAUGUCCUUGUAGCUCUCCCCACGCCUUCUCUUUGAACUUUCCACCACCAAGGAGAGAAGAGGAGUCCAUUCAAAAGAGCAAGAAGAGGAGCAGAGAAGAGGGAUGAAGGACUUCAGCUAUGAAAACAUCGAAGCCGCCACCAAAGGCUUCUCUUUCGAGCAGCUAAUUGGGAAGGGAAGCCAUGGGAGUGUCUACAAAGGCAAGCUCAAAGGUGGAAAGCUCGUAGCAGUGAAGAAGCCACUGGAAGGGGUCCGAACUCUCGGAGAUGACCCAAAAUUAAGUAACGAGAUCGACAUACUUUCGUCCAUAAAGAAUUCGAGUGUCGUCAAUCUAAUAGGAGUCUGUCACGGUCCAUCAGGCAAGUUUCUCAUCAUGGACUUCAUGCCCAAUGGCUCGCUUCAUGAUCUCCUCCACCUCCUUCCAGACCCGCCUUCUUGGCCUCGGCGUGCCGUCAUGGCCAUCCAGAUCGCCCGUGCCAUUCUCUCACUCCACGAGGCGAAGCCUCCCAUCAUCCACCGAGAUAUCAAGUCGGCCAACAUUUUGAUAGACCGCAACUGGAACGCGAGGCUCGCCGACUUCAGCCUUGCAGUCAGGGACGAUAGCUCGCAGUCACCAGUUUCCACAGUACCGGCAGGAACCAUAGGUUACUUGGAUCCAUGCUACACGGAGUCGGGACAGUUGGGCCCAAAGAGCGAUGUGUUCAGCUUUGGGGUGGUGUUAUUGGAGCUCAUCAGCUCUAGGAAGGUGAUGGACAUGGACGGCGAUCCUUCCUCGAUCAUCGCAUGGGCUGUGCCGAUGAUCGGAUCUCGUCGGGUAGCGGAGGUUUGCGAUCGGAGGGUGGCAUUGCCCGAUGGCAUGCUGAGGCCAAUCGAUCGGAUGCUAAGUAUUGCAGUGCGGUGCGUUUCGGAGAAUGUAGAGAGGAGGCCAUUGAUGGGGGAGGUUGUAGGGGAGUUGCAAAGGGUGGUGGAAGGUAUUUGGUGGCCAAUUUGGGGUCCUGUAAGGAGAAAGAUCACUGAUAGAGUCCGUAGAUGUGUUCGAGCUUGGAGGAGGUGUGCGAAGAAGAGGGUGACAACAACAAAGAUCGCGUGCAAGGACCACUUGAUUGACGGUGGGAACCAUGAUUGCAGUGAUGAUGGAGUGAGUCCAAGUAGGAAGGCAUGACAAAGGCUGCAGUCCAAGUAGGAAGGGGCAGCGGAAGGUACGGCUUUGUGAAGUGGGUGGGGUGUUGUCGUACGAGCGCUGGUUCACAGGGAGAAAGAAAUAAAAGCACGGGGAUUCUGUGGGAGAGAAGAGCACACACUGCUCCCUAUUCAAGGCCCUUCCACUGCGGUUGGUGUCCAAACUGGAGAUGAAAGGAAUUCCUUUUUUAGUCGUUGGGAGUGCAAAAAACGGAGUGAUGCACGAUGAGGUUAUUGUGAUGGAGAUUAGCAAGAUGUUGUCGAGCAUAAAGAUCAUGGUGUCCUUCGUUAUCGGACUGAUUCAAUGAUGUCGGAGGAUAUACUCUCUCAACACAAAUCUCAUGGCAAUUGUUACCUUACAGUAGAUUAUGUUUGUCAAGAUUCAAGUGAUGAUCUUUCGAGCUAGAGUGUUAUUGAAGUUGAUGUGCUCUCAAAGGCUCCUCUUCUCUAAAGUUAAAGGAUGUUGCUCAAGAUGGAACUUGAUUGAAUUAUUUUAUUUAUCA